Molecule: long non-coding RNA, 243 nt
Filed under: Vitis vinifera (wine grape)
Lineage: Eukaryota; Viridiplantae; Streptophyta; Magnoliopsida; Vitales; Vitaceae
Description: long non-coding RNA (VVIN_LNC001569)
Source: RNAcentral
GAUGAGAAAGACAUUAGAAUAAAUAAUACUAUGGGUUUGAUACCAACUUGGAUCUUGAGGACAAAUAUAACCAAGAGAUAGCUCUCAUGCGAGGGGGAAAGCAAGGUUAUGGUAACAUCACAAAAAGGUCAACAAGAGAUGUAGCCUUUCAACUUGAUCACAUUAGGGGGCAACUCACAACUUGGCUACAUACAAACCAUAUUCCCAACAUGGCAUAAGUAGGGCAACUUGACCCAACUAACC